RNAcentral lists this ribosomal RNA (253 nucleotides) under uncultured bacterium. RNAcentral's name for it is "partial 16S ribosomal RNA". It matches the Rfam family "Bacterial small subunit ribosomal RNA", at positions 524 to 776 of the family's 1533-position model. The record is from RNAcentral.
UACGGAGGGUGCAAGCGUUAUCCGGAUUCACUGGGUUUAAAGGGUGCGUAGGUGGGCAGGUAAGUCAGUGGUGAAAUCUCCGGGCUUAACCCGGAAACUGCCAUUGAUACUAUCUGUCUUGAAUACCGUGGAGGUGAGCGGAAUAUGUCAUGUAGCGGUGAAAUGCUUAGAUAUGACAUAGAACACCAAUUGCGAAGGCAGCUCACUACACGGAUAUUGACACUGAGGCACGAAAGCGUGGGGAUCAAACAGG